GUCUUUUUGAUUAUAAUUUAAAGUCUGGCCUGCCCAAUGAGUGUUUGAAUGGCCGCGGUAACUUGACCGUGCAAAGGUAGCAUAAUCAUUUGUUUUUUAAUUGGAAGCUGGUAUGAACGGUCGGACGAGAAAAUUACUGUCUCUGUUUAAUUUUAAUAGAAUUUUAUUUGUGAGUAAAAAAGCUUACAUAAUUUUAAAAGACGAGAAGACCCUAUAGAAUUUUAUAUACUUCUGGCUAAGUUAUUUUUGGUAUAAAAGGUUUUUUAGCCUUAGGUUUAUUUUGUUGGGGCGGCAGGGAAAUUGGUUUAACUUUCUUUUUGUUAAUUCAUUAAUUUAUGUGUUUUUGAUCCGUUAUUGACGAUUAUAAGAUAAAAUUACCUUAGGGAUAACAGCGUAAUUUUUCUUGGGAGUUCUUAUCUAAAGAAGAGUUUGCGACCUCGAUGUUGGAUUAAAAUUAACUUUUGGUGCAGUAGCUAAAAGGUUAGGUCUGUUCGACCUUCAAAAUUUUACAUGAUCUGAGU
RNAcentral lists this ribosomal RNA (521 nucleotides) under Phileurus youngi. RNAcentral's name for it is "partial 16S ribosomal RNA". It matches the Rfam family "Bacterial large subunit ribosomal RNA", at positions 1819 to 2610 of the family's 2925-position model. The record is from RNAcentral. Lineage: Eukaryota; Metazoa; Arthropoda; Insecta; Coleoptera; Scarabaeidae.